RNAcentral lists this small RNA (87 nucleotides) under Xanthomonas vasicola. RNAcentral's name for it is "sX9 sRNA". It matches the Rfam family "Xanthomonas sRNA sX9". The record is from RNAcentral. Lineage: Bacteria; Pseudomonadati; Pseudomonadota; Gammaproteobacteria; Lysobacterales; Lysobacteraceae.
AUGUACCACUCGUACACUGCGGUUCCUGCGCGCCGUCCGCGCCCACCUGACGGCUGCUCGCAGGUAAUUCCGAAAAGAUCAAGGGCC